Molecule: non-coding RNA, 30 nt
Filed under: Xenopus tropicalis (tropical clawed frog)
Lineage: Eukaryota; Metazoa; Chordata; Amphibia; Anura; Pipidae
Also listed under: 3 other names
Source: RNAcentral
GGCUAAGAUCAAGUGUAGUAUCUGUUCUUA